Pseudoliparis swirei is the source of this 1854-nucleotide long non-coding RNA. RefSeq lists it as uncharacterized. Lineage: Eukaryota; Metazoa; Chordata; Actinopteri; Perciformes; Liparidae. The transcript has 3 exons. The record is from RefSeq and is a predicted model, not a curated record.
UCACAACCAAGCAGCAAUGAGGGAGUUAAUUACGUGAACUAUCAAGGAAAUACAGUCCAACCAAAUUCUGGAGCAAUCAAACACUCAAAUAAAGGUUGCAUCCAAAAUAAUAGUGUUAGUUGCUGCAGGUUUAUGUUAAAAAUGGUAAUUAUUAUCAACAUUAUUUAAAUGAUAGUUCAUAUUGGCAUAUAGUCUCAUCUACUGGCAGGAACAUAGAAGGGAAAGAAGAUAUCUGGGCGCACAGGUCUAGUUAGAGCAGAAGGGGAAUGAAUGAGUGGGAAGGAGUUCCUGUUGUAUUUAGAAAAAACAGAUAGUUCAGUUUAUAUCCAGUAGGUGGCGACAAAGCGAAAUGUUGGCUACCGGCCUGCUAUUAACAACCAGAGAAGAAGAAAACCAGGAAGCGUUGUUCUUCUUCGUGGGUGACGCGUUGUCGCUCCUCCACAUUGAAGUCAGCGGCGAGCAGCAUGGAGACCCGCGUACACUCAACACGUCGCGCUCUACCGGCCACGUUCACUGUGAAACGGAACCGGGUUUUAAAUGGAACAACACGAACACGACCCUGCGACUAUCUAACGCUGCAGGUAAUCCAGGUACAUUGGAGGAGAUGACCUGACUCAUCAUGGAGGAGCUCCCGACGCACGUGACGAGAGGGUCGGCCCUGGUGUUGUGCAGGCCUGCUCACUGGGACCCUGAAUGGAACUGAGGCACCGUUCAUUUUAUACUUAUGAAAAGUCAAGAGUGCUGUACAAUAAUAUACCAAUGGCACGAAAAAGGCAGAUCCUUUCCCCCCCCCCGACUGUAUUUAAAGUGAAUGUUUCUUAUUUAUCUGUAUUGGUGUUAAUUCUUAUAAAUGCUGACGUUCUGUUUGCUGAUCUCUCUUCCAGAUGCCCCUCGUCUGAAGAUGGGAUUAUUGAUCCUGAUGUGGCCAAGAGUACAAACACGACGGAGAGGUAACUCCUACUUCACAAUAACGUGUACUUAAAAGCGCGGCGAAUUCUGUUUUACUCUUGAAGUAGUAAAUGCAGUCAGACACCGUGCAAAAUUAUUGUUUUCACACACUGACUCCAGGAUCAGAGUGCUAAUGCCGUGCCUCAUUCUUACGUCAGAGUGAAUACAGAAAUGUGGUUUCUUUUGAUCCAUGAUUUUCUUACCAGGCUGCAACUAUUAUUAGUCAUUAGGAUAUUUUACCAAAUGCAUUGUUAAGCUUUAUCGUCUUACAAUUUCUUGUUUGUGUGAGAAUAAACAAGCUCGAUAACAUUGUCAGACAAAUUCAUCUCGGAGCCUCAUUUACUUUUUGUUGUUGUUGCAGGAUUCGUCAGAAUAUGUAUUUCUGGAGAAGUGCUGUAAUGCUCGCUCAAUCCCACUGCUGAUCGCCAAAGAAAACAUGGUUUCUACAACAGAGAGGCCCAACGACGGUACGUUCACACACACUGUUGUGCACCGACAUGCAGCAUAAUUAGUAUUCCUAGCGGUGAAGAAGUCACCAUUGAGGCAUGGACGAAUUCUGUUCCAGCUGCUCUGUGGUGGAAACAGUCAGACACCAUGCAACAGCCUCGUCUCAUUUCUGCCAAGUGACGGGUGAGUGCUUCUCUCGGCCUCAUCCAACCGCGCAGGAAUGAGUACAAAGAUGAGAUGAGAAAAUUAAUGUGCUGCUCGACUUCUACUUUUUAUUUUCGCUCCAUUUAUCUUUCUUUUUAUUCUGCAGUGGCUCCUUUUGAAAAGGGACCAUGAGGAAAAAUAUCCACCUCCUUUCUGUUCAUGGUAAGAACAUGAUAAUUAAAUAUUAUUUACCCUUGCUGUGAUUAUAUUUGACUCUUUAAAUAUUGUUUUUCAGCUCCGCCAGGGACGGAAGUG